RNAcentral lists this ribosomal RNA (460 nucleotides) under uncultured bacterium. RNAcentral describes it as "partial 16S ribosomal RNA". It matches the Rfam family "Bacterial small subunit ribosomal RNA", at positions 338 to 795 of the family's 1533-position model. The record is from RNAcentral.
CCUACGGGUGGCUGCAGUGAGGAAUAUUGGUCAAUGGACGCAAGUCUGAACCAGCCAUGCCGCGUGAAGGAUGACGGCUCUACGAGUUGUAAACUUCUUUUAUAAGGGAGUAAAGUCAGACACGCGUGUCUGUUUGAAAGUAUCGUAUGAAUAAGGAUCGGCUAACUCCGUGCCAGCAGCCGCGGUAAUACGGAGGAUUCAAGCGUUAUCCGGAUUUAUUGGGUUUAAAGGGUGCGUAGGUGGGCUGUUAAGUUAGUGGUGAAAGUCUGAGGCUCAACCUUGGAAUUGCAUUUGAUACUGGUAGUCUAGAGAGUAGUUGAGGUAGGCGGAAUGUAUGGUGUAGCGGUGAAAUGCUUAGAGAUCAUGAAGAACACCGAUUGCGAAGGCAGCUUACUAAGCUGCCUCUGACGUUGAGGCACGAAAGCGUGGGGAGCAAACAGGAUUAGAUACCCUAGUAGUC